This is a long non-coding RNA of Thalassophryne amazonica, 290 nucleotides long. RefSeq lists it as uncharacterized. The record is from RefSeq and is a predicted model, not a curated record. The transcript has 3 exons. Lineage: Eukaryota; Metazoa; Chordata; Actinopteri; Batrachoidiformes; Batrachoididae.
CGCACGGCUAUAAUGAAACCGAUUUUGGCUGCAGAACAUGAUCAUAUCUUAGUUUUUUGAUCAUCCAGCUGGAAUGUCUGGUUCUCUCUGGAGACACGCACUGACCGCUUGAUGGAACCUGCAAACCAUCUGUGACCUCAGGGGACUCGGCCCAGGCUCCUGGAGAGAUGCUGAACACAUGCACGAUUGCGAUACUCCCGCGUCUCCAGCAGGUGGCGGACAUAUGAUGAUGUCACCGACGACACUUUUUCCUGAAGUUAUGGCGGAGCACAACUUUUCUAACUUCUCUU